This 253-nucleotide ribosomal RNA is filed under the name uncultured bacterium. Its description in RNAcentral is "partial 16S ribosomal RNA". It matches the Rfam family "Bacterial small subunit ribosomal RNA", at positions 524 to 776 of the family's 1533-position model. The record is from RNAcentral.
UACGAAGGGGGCUAGCGUUGCUCGGAUUGACUGGGCGUAAAGGGCGCGUAGGCGGUUUGCAUAGUCAGACGUGAAAUUCCUGGGCUUAACCUGGGGGCUGCGUUUGAUACAUGCAGGCUUGAGUUCGGAAGAGGGUCGUGGAAUUCCCAGUGUAGAGGUGAAAUUCGUAGAUAUUGGGAAGAACACUGGUGGCGAAGGCGGCGACCUGGUCCGAUACUGACGCUGAGGCGCGAAAGCGUGGGGAGCAAACAGG